RNAcentral lists this ribosomal RNA (554 nucleotides) under uncultured archaeon. RNAcentral's name for it is "bacterial SSU rRNA". It matches the Rfam family "Archaeal small subunit ribosomal RNA", at positions 733 to 1300 of the family's 1478-position model. The record is from RNAcentral.
AUACCCCNGUAGUCCUAGCAGUAAACGCUGCUUACUAAACAUUAGUACCUCCUCGAGAGGUAUUAGUGCUGUAGAGAAGUCGAAGAGUAAGCUACCUGGGAAGUAUAGUCGCAAGGCCGAAACUUAAAGGAAUNNUCGGGGAGGCACUACAACGGGUGACGCGUGCGGUUCAAUUAGACUCUACACCGUGAAUCUCACCAGGACCGACAGCAGAAUGAAGGUCAGUCUGAAGGGCUUACCUGACACGCUGAGAGGAGUUGCAUGGCCGACAUAAGCCUGUGCCGUGAGGUGACUUGUUAAAUCAAGUAACAGGCGAGACCCCUGUCUCUAAUUUCUACGAUAAGAGCACAUUAGAGAGACUGCCUUGGUAACAAGGAGGAGGGUGGGGGCGAUGUUAGGUGAGUACAGCCCGAAUGCCCUGGGCAACACGCGCGCGGCAAUGUCAUAUUCAGUGAGAUGCAACUCUGAAAAGAGAAGCUAAUCUCCUAACGUAUGGCUUAGUUCAGAUUGAGGUUUGUAACCCAACCUCAUGACGCUGGAAUCCGUAGUAAUCG